UUUGAAGGGCCGCAGUAUUUUGACUGUGCAAAGGUAGCAUAAUCAUUAGUCUUUUAAUUGAGGGCUAGUAUGAAUGGCUGGACGAGGUAAAUUCUGUUUUAUGUUAAUUGAAAUUGAAUUAAGAUUUUAAGUAAAAAGACUUAAAUGUUAUUAAGGGACGAGAAGACCCUAUAGAGUUUAAUAUAUGUAAUAAUUAAUUGAGUUAAAAAACUAAAUUUUUGAUUUUUAUGAAAUUUAUUUAAUUGGGGUGAUUGGAAGAUAAAAUAAACUCUUCUUUAAAUUUAAUAAUUUAAUUAGUUGUGUGAUCCAUAUUUAAUGAUUAGAAGAUUAAAUUACCUUAGGGAUAACAGCAUAAUUCUUUUUGAGAGUUCAUAUCAAAAAAGGAGAUUGUGACCUCGAUGUUGGAUUAAGAUUAGUUAUGGGUGCAGAUGUUCAAUAACUAGGUCUGUUCGACCUUGAAAAUCUUACAUG
This is a ribosomal RNA of 471 nucleotides. It matches the Rfam family "Bacterial large subunit ribosomal RNA", at positions 1922 to 2602 of the family's 2925-position model.